Molecule: ribosomal RNA, 112 nt
Filed under: Acanthosepion pharaonis
Lineage: Eukaryota; Metazoa; Mollusca; Cephalopoda; Sepiida; Sepiidae
Source: RNAcentral
UAUGGCCAUAUCACUUUGAAACAUCGGUUCCUGUACGAUUACCGAAGUUAAGCAAAAUCGACCCUGGUCAGUACCUAGAUGGGUGACUGCUUGGGAAUGACACCUGCUGUAA